This 74-nucleotide transfer RNA is filed under the name Candidatus Shapirobacteria bacterium. RNAcentral's name for it is "tRNA-Ile". It matches the Rfam family "tRNA". Rfam says of the family: Transfer RNA (tRNA) molecules are approximately 80 nucleotides in length. The record is from RNAcentral. RNAcentral also lists the same sequence under 1 other name. Lineage: Bacteria; Candidatus Shapironibacteriota.
GGGUGAUUAGCUCAGUUGGUUAGAGCACAGUCCUGAUAAGACUGGGGUCAAUGGUUCGAGUCCAUUAUCACCCA